UACGUAGGGGGCUAGCGUUGUCCGGAAUCAUUGGGCGUAAAGAGCGUGUAGGCGGCUCGGUAAGUCCGCUGUGAAAGUCGGGGGCUCAACCCUCGAAUGCCGGUGGAUACUGUCGGGCUAGAGUGCGGAAGAGGCGAGUGGAAUUCCUGGUGUAGCGGUGAAAUGCGCAGAUAUCAGGAGGAACACCGAUUGCGAAGGCAGCUCGCUGGGACGUAACUGACGCUGAGACGCGAAAGCGUGGGGAGCAAACAGG
RNAcentral lists this ribosomal RNA (253 nucleotides) under uncultured bacterium. RNAcentral's name for it is "partial 16S ribosomal RNA". It matches the Rfam family "Bacterial small subunit ribosomal RNA", at positions 524 to 776 of the family's 1533-position model. The record is from RNAcentral.